CUGGAACAACCCAACGAUGGAGUCCGAGUCCAAAUAACUUAGAGUCGAUGUGAAGGGAAUUCAUUGUGCCAUGGCAUCUUACCAAAUGAGGCUGAUUGAGACACCUCAGUUAACAGAGGAUGGAGAGGCAAGAGAUGGAUGGUUUACCAAACUGCAGCUUAACAAGGAUCAAGGAGGGAUCUUCUGGAAAAUCCAGAGACUGAGGAACACCAGCCAUCAAGGGAUUCUGCUCUUUUUAAGCACCUCUUGAUUGGUUCAACGAGCUGCAGCUGCGGAGCCUGUCAGUCACACCCUGCUGAAGAGCCUGUUCACACUGUUCAAAAAUGGCUGUAAUUUCUCCUCCUGGUCAGCAGGUGGCAGCGACAGCAGGAGUCUGAAAAUCAAGAAGCAGGAAGUGGUUGUGCUAUGGAUGCAGUUUAUUCUUGUGAACAGCAGGUGGCAGCAGCAGGACUUUUCACAUCGUCACAAAGAAACAGGAAGUGGUUAGACUGAGUAAAACAAACAUCAUUACAUGUUUCAUAUUUAUUCUCUGCGAUGUGGAUGAAUUAGUUAAUUUCAGACUGAUGUAUCUUUGACUCAUGAGCUCUCUAUUUGGCUGUUGGGACUUUAUAAGAAGUUACAAAUAGUGGAAAUAUGUCAGAUGUUGGUUAGCUUUAGCCAUGCUAAUGCAGUGUUGCAUUGUGGGUAAUAAAAUAGUUUUUUCUUUAAACGUUAGAUGUAAACUGCUUUUUAAUUUUCUUCAACAUUUAUUCCAGUAUGCUUUAACUGGUGUAGCAAGACAGCUUCCAGGUACUGGUUUUGUUAGGUGUUGUUAAAUGACUCGAUUCAGCUGAGGAAAAACAUGACCUACGGCCUAUUGGAUGACACCUUGUGGCUCCGACGAAUAUGCAGAGAGGGAAGUAAUCUCACGCCUGUAGUUCUACAAGGACAAAUCAACUGUAUUCAAGUGGCUUUGUUAUGAAUUGAACCUCAAAAUCAUCUGCAUCAGUUGGAGCCCUUUAAGUUUUUACCCCAAUUUCUCCAGAUAUAUUGGAGAGAUCUGAAAACUUCUCCCAUCCAACCUGAUGGAGGUUGUGCUGUACUGCAAAGAAGAAUGGACUAAACUACCUAAAGAUAGGUGUGCUAAGCUUGUGGCAUCUUAUUAAAAAAGACGUGAUGCUGGUAUUGCUGCCAAAAGUAUAAAGCAAAGGCUACAAAUAGUUACCUAAAAGUGAUUUGUUUUCUUUUUGUAAUAAAUUUGUUACAAUCUCAAA
Girardinichthys multiradiatus is the source of this 1253-nucleotide long non-coding RNA. RefSeq lists it as uncharacterized. The transcript has 6 exons. The record is from RefSeq and is a predicted model, not a curated record. NCBI's taxonomy places the organism in Eukaryota, Metazoa, Chordata, Actinopteri, Cyprinodontiformes, Goodeidae.